ACGCACGCUGGCGGCGUGCUUAACACCUGCAAGUCGAACGGAAAGGCCCUGCUUUUGUGGGGUGCUCGAGUGGCGAACGGGUGAGUAACACGUGAGUAACCUGCCCUUGACUUUGGGAUAACUUCAGGAAACUGGGGCUAAUACCGGAUAGGAGCUCCUGCUGCAUGGUGGGGGUUGGAAAGUUUCGGCGGUUGGGGAUGGACUCGCGGCUUAUCAGCUUGUUGGUGGGGUAGUGGCUUACCAAGGCUUUGACGGGUAGCCGGCCUGAGAGGGUGACCGGCCACAUUGGGACUGAGAUACGGCCCAGACUCCUACGGGAGGCAGCAGUGGGGAAUAUUGCACAAUGGGCGAAAGCCUGAUGCAGCAACGCCGCGUGCGGGAUGACGGCCUUCGGGUUGUAAACCGCUUUCGCCUGUGACGAAGCGUGAGUGACGGUAAUGGGUAAAGAAGCACCGGCUAACUACGUG
RNAcentral lists this ribosomal RNA (467 nucleotides) under uncultured bacterium. Its description in RNAcentral is "partial 16S ribosomal RNA". It matches the Rfam family "Bacterial small subunit ribosomal RNA", at positions 29 to 507 of the family's 1533-position model. The record is from RNAcentral.